AUAUCUAGGUGUUAGGUUGUACCUCGGUGCGUUCAAAAUCAGCAGAUCUCCGUAUUUCCCUACUUCAAGAGAGCCAUGGGUUUUCUGUUUACCCAAUGCAGCAGCUAAGUUCACAGAUCGAUAACUAUCGACUAAAGCUUCAGGUAAAGUCAUCCCAAACAAAACGCAAGCGAGAUUCAUCACCAACGGCUGCAUCACAUAAUAAAAUGAAUUCAUUGUAAAGUUAACGACCAGAAAUGAUAAAAUCGUCAAACCAUGGAAAGGCAGUGAGCAUUGGGAUUGAAAUCGGAGCCAAGUGCUACCGGUACGCCUUGGUUUAUCAUCUGUCGAACUGGCGGAGGCUUCAAGCGAAGAAGAUAUGCUGUAGUAGGCAAGAUGACUGCAACAGAAGGUUUCACAGCCAUUGCAGCAAUUCCUUCUUGACUGAUCUCUUCUAGAUGGCUCAUAGCUUCGGCACCCAGAGAAGCUCCCAUCUGCGGUUAUAUAAAAUGGUUCCGCUUUACCAAUUUAUAUUAUUUCCCUAAAUUGAUAUUUUAAUUCCAACCUC
Daphnia pulicaria is the source of this 547-nucleotide long non-coding RNA. RefSeq lists it as uncharacterized. The record is from RefSeq and is a predicted model, not a curated record. The transcript is spliced from 2 exons. NCBI's taxonomy places the organism in Eukaryota, Metazoa, Arthropoda, Branchiopoda, Diplostraca, Daphniidae.